UUGGCUCAGUCCAAAGAAAAAAUCAGGUUGGUUUAUGCAGUGGAUAACAGGUAGGAGAAGUCCUGGAAACACUGCUAAGGAUAUGGGCUGAAGGAAAUGUUCUGGCAAACUCAAUUUUGGCCCUGACAGAAGGCUGUCUGCUAUCUCACCCUCUAAGCAGAGAUUUUUGGCAGUUUAGGAGUGAAUAAUUUCCACUGCCAAGUGACUGAAAUGUAUUCUCUGUGAUACAUUAUUUUACAUAGCAGGUCAGGAAGGGUAUCAGUGAAUGGGAGCUCCACAUCCCUUCCUGGCAUGGGCUGAACAGCUGAGAUACACUGCCUGCAGGAGCUAAGAGAUGUCUGGAGCAGCUAAGAGCUUGUGGAGCUGCACUCACCAUGUAGGAGGCUCUGAGGCCAAAGAAGGAGAAACCAAUUUGAGUAUGGUAACAUUGAAGCCUUAGUUGAGAGAUGAUGAAAUCUGGUGGAGAGACACUUAACUGUGAAGCACAGUGGAGAGCUGGAACCAUCUCUAAUCAAAGCAUCCUUCAGGACUGAUACCCUGGGGGAACAGGAGCAAGCAGGGGACUGUGAAACACUGCACAAGCCUUGCAGGGUGUGACAGCACUUGCAGGGAUACAAACUUGGGUCUCAGCAGAGGAACAAACUAAACUAGUGCAAACGUGUUUUUCUCAGGUAGUACUACCUGAGGAAGUAAAAGAACAUUUACCAACCCAUCUAUAGUAGAGAGCCUGCUGUGAGCUUUCACUCUCUUCAUACCUUUGCAGAUGCUGUAAGCACCCCUGCUAAGGGUUUAGAUAUUUCUUCAAUUAAACGUAACAGGAAUUUUAAAUUGUUUUCAACAGAAAAAGAUGCAAAGAGAACAAAGCAGCACAUUCAAUGUCUGAGUCUGUUGAAAUAAAUGUCUGCAAUUCAUUUGCUCAUUUUAAUCUAACUUAAAGAGUUAAUGUUGUUUAAGCACAGCUUGCAUUGGCACAUAGUGGAAGAAAGCAAAAACAAUUCAUUAAUUACUGUUCACUGACCAGUUAUGAUUUUGAAACAUGCUCAAUUAGUGAACAGUAUACCUCCAAAUCACAGUUAAAGUGAAUACAAAAAUUUGAAGCACAAUUACCAAUGUCAUUAUUAUUAACUAUUCUACCUUUGAGGGAUCACUCUGUCAAAAAGAAUAAUUUUAUCAAUACAUUUUUAAUUCCUUUUUAUAAAACACAUAUUUGUAAGAAAAGGGAGUAAGGAAGACCUGUAAAUUAAAAAAAAAUCCAUUAAAAGGCAUUUUUUUUCCUUGGAUAGAAUUCCUACCCAGAAAUGAUACCAUCCUUAUGAUUAACUUCUCAGAAUACUAGACUUAGGGACAGCCCUUAACUUGCUCCUCUGCAAAUCAAUGCUCUAUUUUUUGAUUGUAUCCAAAAGCAC
Long non-coding RNA from Passer domesticus (house sparrow), 1406 nucleotides. RefSeq lists it as uncharacterized. The transcript is spliced from 3 exons. The record is from RefSeq and is a predicted model, not a curated record. Lineage: Eukaryota; Metazoa; Chordata; Aves; Passeriformes; Passeridae.